Daphnia pulicaria is the source of this 187-nucleotide long non-coding RNA. RefSeq lists it as uncharacterized. The record is from RefSeq and is a predicted model, not a curated record. NCBI's taxonomy places the organism in Eukaryota, Metazoa, Arthropoda, Branchiopoda, Diplostraca, Daphniidae. The transcript is spliced from 3 exons.
AGAGUCUGGGCAUCCGUCGGGCUGAUCUUGAGCGGCUCCACCUGGAUCUUCAACGUGGAAGACGAAGGUUUGCUGGGCUUCUCCUGGCGGCGAUCGUCGCUCCGCUUCCGCCUGGACAGGCAAGCGGCGAUGGACAAGAUGACCAGGAGCAAAAUGAAUCCAGCCACUCCGCCGGCGAUGGCGUAGA